Molecule: long non-coding RNA, 188 nt
Organism: Lycium ferocissimum
Lineage: Eukaryota; Viridiplantae; Streptophyta; Magnoliopsida; Solanales; Solanaceae
Exons: 2
Source: RefSeq, a predicted model, not a curated record
CUUUGAAGAUAUUUCCAUGACCGAAUAUGAUGUGGGGGAAAUUAACGAAAUGGUUCAAAAUUGGUGAUUUUAUUAUUCUACUAUUUUUGUACAACUCAUGUAUUAUUUGCAAUUAAAAAAAACUACAACUUGCAAAUAAAUGUUAUCCAAGAAUGAAUAAAAUAUAUGGCUCAUUGAGCUUUCUUCUA